Molecule: ribosomal RNA, 247 nt
Filed under: uncultured bacterium
Lineage: Bacteria
Description: partial 16S ribosomal RNA
Rfam family: Bacterial small subunit ribosomal RNA
Source: RNAcentral
AUACGUAGGGGGCAAGCGUUAUCCGGAUUUACUGGGUGUAAAGGGAGCGUAGACGGCUUUGCAAGUCUGAUGUGAAAGGCAGGGGCUCAACCCCUGGACUGCAUUGGAAACUGUGAGGCUCGAGUGCCGGAGGGGUAAGCGGAAUUCCUAGUGUAGCGGUGAAAUGUGUAGAUAUUAGGAGGAACACCAGUGGCGAAGGCGGCCUACUGGGCUUUAACUGACGCUGAGGCUCGAAAGUGUGGGGAGC